UACGGAGGGUGCGAGCGUUAAUCGGAAUUACUGGGCGUAAAGGGCGCGUAGGCGGCUCGAUAAGUUGGAUGUGAAAGCCCCGGGCUCAACCUGGGAAUUGCAUCCAAAACUGUUGGGCUAGAGUACGGUAGAGGGGGGUGGAAUUCCCGGUGUAGCGGUGAAAUGCAUAGAGAUCGGGAGGAACAUCAGUGGCGAAGGCGGCCCCCUGGACUGAUACUGACGCUGAGGUGCGAAAGCGUGGGGAGCAAACAGG
This 253-nucleotide unclassified non-coding RNA is filed under the name uncultured Gammaproteobacteria bacterium. Its description in RNAcentral is "contains 16S-23S intergenic spacer region". It matches the Rfam family "Bacterial small subunit ribosomal RNA", at positions 524 to 776 of the family's 1533-position model. The record is from RNAcentral. Lineage: Bacteria; Pseudomonadati; Pseudomonadota; Gammaproteobacteria.